UUCCCAUCUCCUUCAGCCGCGAUACCCCUUUCGCUUUUCUUUCAAAAUCAAACUCACCAACACAACACAUAGCAAUAGCAAAAAUUAACAGAAAGAAAGGAAAGAGAGGAGAGUGUGCGAAUCAGAAGAGAGGAGAAGGGGGAGAGUGCGCCGGCGAGUCACUGCCGCUCGUCGCGCCGCCGUCAUCGCCGAUGAUGGAGGAACAAAGAAAGUGUGUCGUUGAGUAAGGGGAGCUCGUGCGAGUGAGGAGCGUCGCCACUGCUGUCACACCGUACGCCGCCAGCUUCGUUGCACCUCGUCAUCACCAUCGCCGUCGGACCGCCGUGGAGUCGUUGCCGUCGCACCGGCGCUGCGAGAUGCUAUCGAGCCACAAGCAGGACCCAAUGCGAAGAGAGAGAGACAAAACAACACAAGGAGAGAGAGAAGGCGUUGCAGGGUGGUUUCUGUCGCCGCUGCUCUCGCUGCCAUCGCCGUGUGUGGAGCUCGCCGCUGCCGGAGUCACGAGCUGAGGAUUAAGCCGCUGCAGCUGUGGGAUGUGAUGGUUAAUGCUCUUUAAGAAUCGUUGCUGCUGGGGUGAUUGGAAUUGCUACUGCUAGUUCUAACGUUACUACCGUUGUUGUUGACUUGUCCCAAUUCAAGUUCAGUGUCACUGCCCUAGAGUUGUUUCUGCGUUUGAUUCCAUCAAAUUCAAUGUUGCUGCGAGUGUAAUCGGAGUUGGUGAUGCUGCCAUCGUCUCGGUUGUGUUGGAA
Non-coding RNA from Arachis ipaensis, 749 nucleotides. Lineage: Eukaryota; Viridiplantae; Streptophyta; Magnoliopsida; Fabales; Fabaceae. The record is from RefSeq and is a predicted model, not a curated record.